RNAcentral lists this ribosomal RNA (492 nucleotides) under uncultured bacterium. Its description in RNAcentral is "partial 16S ribosomal RNA". It matches the Rfam family "Bacterial small subunit ribosomal RNA", at positions 30 to 507 of the family's 1533-position model. The record is from RNAcentral.
AUUGAACGCUGGCGGCAUGCUUUACACAUGCAAGUCGAACGGUAACAGGCCUUCGGGUGCUGACGAGUGGCGAACGGGUGAGUAAUGCAUCGGAACGUGCCCAGAGGUGGGGGAUAACGCAGCGAAAGCUGUGCUAAUACCGCAUGUGAUCUGAUGAUGAAAGCGGGUGACCAGACAGCAAUUUUUGGCCUCGCGCCUUUGGAGCGGCCGAUGUCAGAUUAGGUAGUUGGUGGGGUAAAGGCCUACCAAGCCGACGAUCUGUAGCUGGUCUGAGAGGACGACCAGCCACACUGGGACUGAGACACGGCCCAGACUCCUACGGGAGGCAGCAGUGGGGAAUUUUGGACAAUGGGGGCAAGCCUGAUCCAGCAAUGCCGCGUGCGGGAAGAAGGCCUUCGGGUUGUAAACCGCUUUUGUACGGAACGAAAAGGCUCUGGCUAAUACCUGGGGCUGAUUACGGUACCGUAAGAAUAAGCACCGGCUAACUACGUG